ACGGGAGGCAGCAGUGGGGAAUAUUGGGCAAUGGACGCAAGUCUGACCCAGCAACGCCGCGUGAAGGAAGAAGGCUUUCGGGUUGUAAACUUCUUUUAUCAGGGACGAAGAAAGUGACGGUACCUGAUGAAUAAGCCACGGCUAACUACAUGCCAGUAGCCGCGGUAAUACGUAGGUGGCGAGCGUUAUCCGGAUUUACUGGGUGUAAAGGGCGCGUAGGCGGGGAUGCAAGUCAGAUGUGAAAUCCAUGGGCUUAACUCAUGAACUGCAUUUGAAACUGUAUCUCUUGAGUGUCGGAGAGGUAGAUGGAAUUCCUAGUGUAGCGGUGAAAUGCGUAGAUAUUAGGAGGAACACCAGUGGCGAAGGCGAUCUACUGGACGAUAACUGACGCUGAGGCGCGAAAGCGUGGGGAGCAAACAGGAUUAGAUACCCUGGUA
This 437-nucleotide ribosomal RNA is filed under the name uncultured Oscillospiraceae bacterium. Its description in RNAcentral is "bacterial SSU rRNA". It matches the Rfam family "Bacterial small subunit ribosomal RNA", at positions 341 to 792 of the family's 1533-position model. The record is from RNAcentral. Lineage: Bacteria; Bacillati; Bacillota; Clostridia; Eubacteriales; Oscillospiraceae.